UUUUUAAAGUAAUAAUUUUAAAUAAAACCUGCUCCAUGUAUAUUGAAAUAUAUAAAUAGCCGCAGAAUUAACUGUGCUAAGGUAGCAUAAUCAUUAGCCCCCUAAUUAGGGGCUAGAAUGAAAGGUUUAACAAUUCAUUUACUUUUUUAUCUUUUAUAGUAAAAUUUAUAUUAAAUAUAAAAAUAUAUUUAUACUAAGGUUAGACGACAAGACCCCAUAGAACUUAACUUAAGUUAAGCUGGGGCAGCUAUUUAAUAAUAAUUUUAAAUAAGUUAACAAAUUAAAAGACCCUAUAAAAUAGAUUUAUUGAACAAGUUACCUUGGGGAUAACAGCGUAAUAUUUUUUUAAAGUUCGUAUUUAAAAAAAAGUUAACGACCUCGAUGUUGAAUUAAUUUUUCUUUAAAAUGCAAGCAUUUUAGAAGUAGGCCUGUUCGGCCUUUAAUUUAUU
Molecule: ribosomal RNA, 449 nt
Filed under: Metleucauge yunohamensis
Lineage: Eukaryota; Metazoa; Arthropoda; Arachnida; Araneae; Tetragnathidae
Description: partial 16S ribosomal RNA
Rfam family: Bacterial large subunit ribosomal RNA
Source: RNAcentral